Long non-coding RNA from Cyprinus carpio carpio, 4067 nucleotides. The record is from Ensembl. Lineage: Eukaryota; Metazoa; Chordata; Actinopteri; Cypriniformes; Cyprinidae.
GCGGAUGGAAAACUUUGGCGCGCGCUCUUGAAAGCUUCCUCGCGCUGUCUUCUUUCUUUUCUUUCGUUGGCGUUCUCCAAAGGGCUGCUGGAAAUGAAGACACUUUUUGAUAGAGAUCUUUCUUCCCCAAUCACGCUCUUCCGCGCAGACAGCGAUGUUGCGUGCACUUUAGACGCGUCGUCUGAACUCGCGAGCGUUCUUGCAGUGAGUCUUGCCCUCGCCCUGGGCAGAUUGAGACUCGCGCGCAGUCCUACUCGAGAGUGAGUAAGAGCGCGAGGCCCCGCGGGAUUAUCACUCUGUCCAAUCAGGAGGGCGUUUUAAUUAAGAAGAUUAGAAACCGGCAUGCUCCUAAAUUCAACUAUAGCAAUAAUAACUGCUGAACAAUUUGAUGGCAUAAUGCAAUUCAUGGCCGGCACAUUGUGCUGAACAGCCACUACACCUAACAUUCUUUAAGAUUACAAUCAGUUACACAGAAUUAACGCAGUAUUGCUGUAACGAAAUGUUUCUGUUUAGUUAGGCUAACUAACGAUCAAAACAACUUAAUGCAUAGCGUGCAUUUAUUCUGCCACUUGCAGCCUUGUGAACUCAUCGGUUAACAAAUGUAACGUAUCCUAAGUCAUAUAAUUAUUGAAGAUUUGAUGACCACUGAAUUCAUUUAUUAUUAUUAAACCGUGCAUAAAAAGUUCUAUGAAAUGGUGGCUUGGCCUUAAGAGUAAAUAAAUAGUCAGAAUAAACUAAGACUUAUGAUAAACUAUAGCCUACAUUUUCUCUAAACUGACACCUCAGUAUUUGUCUUUUUACCAUGCAGGCUAAAUUCAGUUUGUUGUAUAUGUGACCUGACGCGUGUCUCUUGUUGGACACGGAGGAAGUGAAUGGGGAGGAGAGCACGUGCUGUGAGGGAUUAAUCGCAUGGUCUGGAUGAGGCCCAAAAGUGAGCUUCAACACCUCCAGCCAAACUCCAAGGCCGCUUCAUCUACAAUAAAUGUGAAGAUGAGGACAUUUUCCUGAGUAUUUGCGGGCUAUUCCCUUUGCUGGGGCAGCAGCGUGUGAUCAGCGGGAGUUUUUUUUUUUUUGGAGCAGAGGCAAGCGGUUCUCUGAGAGUUAUCAUUCAGCGUGUGAUAUCAGGCUCCGAGGCCCUCCAGCCAAACACCCGCCAGAGACGUCUCCUGCCGAUGUCCUAACACGCCAUGAAAUUAUAGGGCUCCUUGGCUAUUGUGAGAGAGGUGGCACAUUUCAGAGUAUUCCCAUUUUUGUCUGUGUUUUCAAACCAUUUUCCACAUCAGAAAGUAGUCAUUUUGGGUAUGAUGUUAUAUCUAAGUGUGAUUCCAAAGGGCCAGAAGAGAUAACAAAAGCUGCACAAACCCACUCGCGUUGAACAUCAAGACCACAGAGCAUGAUAAAGAUUGUGUAGUAAUGGCCUGAGAGUAGAAAAUCAAAUGGAAUAUAAUCUCUCUGCCAUAUAAUAGCCACUGACCUUCCGCAUACAGUUCUAUAAUGAUGGCAAACACAUGCUUAUGUGCGUGAGAGGACGUUUCAGCUCUGCAAGAAACCAUGCACGGCACAGACAACAGAAUGCUCACACUUUUAUUUGGUUGUUGCUAGGUGACUACUGGUGCACAGACGAACAAGUCUGACAAAAGCAUCUUACAAUUUAGAUCAGAUUUUAACAGCUUUAAUUCCAUCAUUCAUACAUGACAAGUGCCAGCACAAAGAACAGAAGCAAAACGACCUUUGGUUAUAAUGGAGUAUUAUAAUGAACCUUUUAUAAUGAACAGUUCUUAAAAAAAUUUUGAACAAUAAAAUAAAAUAAAAAAUUCACUAUAACGAGCACGAAAAUUUGCUGAAAAUUGACUCACUCUCAGACCAUCCAAGAAGUAGAUGUAGAAAUUUAGCAUUACAUAAUUUGCUCACCAGUGGAUCCUCUGCAGUGAAUGGGUGCCGCUGGAGUCCAAAACAGCUGAUAAAACAUUAAAAUAAUCUAUUAUCCAUCAGUUAACAUCUUCUGACGUGAAAAGCUGCAUGUUUGUAACAAACAAGUCUAUCAUUGAGGUGUUUUAACUUUAAACUGUCAAUUCUGGCAAAAAUAGACAAAAGUCCACAAUCCAUAAUAAUACUUCUUUCAGUGAAAAGUCCAUCCCCUGUUGUCCUCUCACAUCAAAAUCCACUGACAUAUUGGGUUAGAACAGUUUUGGACUGUUUUUGCUUGUAAACGGUGCUUGAUCUGUGCAUAUUUCUCUCCUGAUUCAGACUUUUUCACAAGAGAAAGUGUCAAUAUGGAUUAUAGACAUGAAUUUUAGCUAGAAGCAAUGGUUUAAAGUUAAAAUUGUCUUAACUGUGUAUUUAUUACAAUCAUGUGGCUUUUUGCUUCACAAGGCAUUAACUGAUGGACUGGAGAGGUGUGGAUUACUUGUGGAUUACUGUGAUGUUUUUAUCAGCUGUCUGAACUCUCAUUCAGAUGGCACCCAUUCACUGCAGAGGACUUUGUAUACAACAUUGAGAUAAUAUGUCACUAAGGCCAGAGAGGUUACAAUGAAUUUAUUCCAAAAUCUACCAGAGAAACAUAUUCAGACAGCAAUUUUUGGAAAUUUGGUCAUAUUCAGAAAAAGCAAUUUGGGUAAUAGUGAGGAAAGAAUAAACAUAGACAUUCUGUGGCUUAUUCUGUAGACACUGUUGCAUAACAUAUCUGAGAAAAUAUGUAAUGGUUAUAUUAUGCAAAUUAAAAUAGAUAUAUGUAGAAUAGCAUCAUUCCAACUCUUACCCCAAACCCAGUUACUUCUAACAAAAAGUUUUAAUUAUGUAUUUAUUACAGUCAUGCAGCUUUUCACUAUACAAGAUGUUAAUUGAUGGACUGCAGUCAUGUGGAUUACUAAUAGAUUAUUUUGAUGUUUUUAUCAGCUGUUUGAAGUCUCAUUCUGACGGCACCCAUUCACUGCAGAGGAUCCAUUGGUGAGCAAGUGAUGUAAUGCUAAAUUUAUCCAAAUCUGUUCCGAUGAAGAAACAAACUCAUCUACACCUUGGAUAUCUUGAAGGUGAGAACAAUUUCAGUGAAUCAUUAUUUCUUUAUGGAUCCAUCAAUGCCAAUAAAGAACCUUUAUUUUUAAGCAUGUAUGAUGAUAACAUUUGUAGAUUUUGUAGAUAACAUAAUUCUUUUAAAUGGACAUUCUUAAAGUAUAGGUCACAUGAUUAAAGUGUCAAGUCACAGUUAUAGCUGUGCUAGUGGAGACUAACAAACGCUAAAUAAUGUUCUGCUCUACCACGGUGAACUUGAGUGAGUGGCCUGAGCAAAAGUAAAAGCGAUUUUUUACACAGGUUGUAAAGAUGACGACCUCCGUAGAGGAAAAUAUAUUUAGUGGUACAAAACAAAGCAUGACUCAAUUGUGUAUUGGCACGCUUGGGGUGCAACUGAUCCGCUGCUCCCUGUUGCCACAGCAACCGCAGGCUAGACUACUCCAAGGUGACAUGCCACUUGAGGACUGUGAGUCCCACUGAGAGCCCACAGUGCUGUCCAGAGACCUCAAGGGGGCAGCAGCUGCCAAGAGCUGCAUUAACAAGCUGUACUCUCAGGAAAUGAGUCAGUGGAGGCAUUGUUAGAUCUCAAAUUAUCUUUGUGCCACUAUACUGAGACAGUUUAAUUGGUUUCAGUAUGAAUAGUCUAGUUUUUAAAGAUAUGUGUAUAUUUAAAGGACCUAAGGUGCACUGCUGGAUUGAGGUGCAGAUGACCGGAGGAGCGGGAGGGUAACAGAAGUUUGGAUUAAAUAAGUGACUAAAUGACUAAACUGAGAUAAUCACCAUCUGUUAAACAGAUUGACGAGACAGGUGUAGACUGAAGGAGGCAAGAGAUGCUUAAGAAAGUGCGGAAAUGCUUCAAGGAUGUGAAACAUCACAUUCAAUAAAAUCGAAUGACUUGAUGGUUGGUGUGAGCUUGUUACUCAUCUCUCUUUGAACCUCUCGGAUCAUUAUAAGACCUCCAUUAGCCGUACAAUCUCUCUCGUGUGAAAUUAUAAUUUCUGUCAUUAGAGCGAAGCUUCUCACUGCAGUUUGCAAUUUCACAUAAACACGAAAAUACA